This is a long non-coding RNA of Panonychus citri (citrus red mite), 3765 nucleotides long. RefSeq lists it as uncharacterized. The record is from RefSeq and is a predicted model, not a curated record. Lineage: Eukaryota; Metazoa; Arthropoda; Arachnida; Trombidiformes; Tetranychidae. The transcript is spliced from 5 exons.
AACAGCUGAUUGUUUUUUAUUCUUUUCCACGCCCAAUUGAUUAGGAGAAAAGAACAAAAGUUGAAUAAGAAAAUGAGUUAAUUCUUUUUCUCUCUCCAUUGGAACGUGUUAAUUGUCAAUGUUUAUUUGGUUUUCACUUUUUUCACACGAGAAAAGGAUUAGCAGGGGCGGUGGUCACAUGGAUAAUCCAAACGACGUAAUUGAUUGAUUAACGUUGCAAGUAUAUUCAGUGGAAAAAGAGAUUGAAACAAAAGGGAAAUCAUGGUGAAAACAAACGAUGAAGUGAUUCAAGGAUAAAGUGAGAGAAGAGACUAAAUUGAAAUAGAAUCGAAUGAUUUUCAACAAGGAAACAGCAACAGGAGUAUCAAUCUCUCUUCUCUCUCUCAACUUGCCAUGAGAAGAGGUUGAAACAAUGAAGAAAUUCAAGUCUUAUGAGAUUUAACGGAUUCCUUAUUCUUAUAACAAUCACCUAGAUGAUCGUCAACAUUAUCACCAUGAUCAUUAUCAACAGAAUACGUUGUUUCUUUUAAUCUAACUUUCUAAUUCUCAUUCAAGUACUGUUAAUGUUACUAUUGAGUGUUAACUGAAUGAUGUUUACCAAAAGAGGAAAACAAAGAUUAAGUUUGAAUUAUCUCUAUGUUACCUUUCAUUAUCUUAAUCAUCAUCAUUUUUCUUGACUCACUUUUAUCACUCAGUUGAUUUAAUUUCAAACCUUGAUUCUUUUUCUUCAUCAUGGUUACAGGUUCAGUGUUCCGGUAACUUGACCAAUGAUAAUCGUCUAGAUGAAACUUACUGGUCAAUUCUGGUUCAUGGCGUGAGGCCUGACUUGCUUAUUUAUAGUCAUGGCUCCAAACUCAUCAUCAUCAUAAUCAUAAUCAUCAACAGCAGCAUGAUUAUUAUCAUUAUUUCACCUUGGCAUCUUUCCCCUCGUCUCUCUCUCUCUCUCUCUCUCUCUCUCUCAACCCUAACGUUUCCAUCUCAUCAUUUUUUUUCUUCUCCAUAUAUUCAAACCAUUUUCACGUUCACUAUCCCUAACUCAUCAUCUUCAUAAUCAUUUCAGUCAACUGAAUAGAUGAGUAUAUGGAUCAAUAAUGAUCAUCAAACCUUACAUGUAAUAACUGGUGAGUUACCUCUUCCUCUCUCAUCCUAUUGAGAUUGGAAUUCUUGGAAAACGAUAGAGGAAGAGAGAGAGAGAGAGUGAGAGGGAGUCAUCACUUGAUGAAAACUAAGAUUUUUUUCUUAUCACUUUCUAUCAUCACUUACCUUUGUUUCUUUCAUUUCCUUUUACCUAUCAUCAUCCUCAUCUUUUUUUUUCAAUCAACUUUCACUUUCCAACAUUUAAUUCAAACUUGUUUAAUCUUUCUCUCUCAUUCCCAUACACUCACAUGCAAAAGGAAUAAUAUUAAUUCUGGUUUCAAUUGUCUCUUUUUCCUUGUUUACUUGGAACCAUCAUGAUGAUGGAAAAGUUUCCACCACCACCACUACCUUCAUCAUCGUCACCAUUAAUCAUGAAUAUUUCAUCAUCAUAUUCAAAAUUUGAUUCAAUAUCAAGAAGUAAUGUUCAAGUAACCAGAGAGAUAGUUGUUGACUCAGAUGAUGGGAAAGGUAAACUUGAAGAGAGAGAAAGAGAGAGGUAAAGAAAAUUGAGAAUAAAAAAAAACACCAAGAAAAGGUUUCGAUAUAACAAUAAUUUUCCAUGUUUCCAAUCGGUUAAUUGUUGAUAAAUUACCAUUUGAUUAACUACAGUUGAUGGUUGAAUAUGAACUUGCAAAGUUUCAAUCCAAUGGAUGGAUACAUAUGAAGUUAAUCAAUCAAAAAGAAAUCAAAUUAUGAUCAACGAUCGGAAAUUUUGGAAAAUGACUAUCAUUAUAUUCAUAAUUUUUUGCUUAAUUGUUGAUAAUUUAAUUUCAGGAGAGUUAACUUGAAAUUGUUGAACUUUCCCUUAAUGAUGGUUAAUUGUACUCUCUCUCUCUCUCUCUCUCUCUCUCUCUCUCUCUCUCUCUCUCUCUCUCUCUUUCUAAUCAUGAUCAUUAUAAUAUGAUGAAAAUGAUUCAAAUUGUUAAGAGAGACAAUUAAUUCUUGGCAAAGAUAUUAGCAAUUACAUGGUGGUUUAUAUUACAAAGGAAACUUUUUUUCUCAACAAUUAACUAUGAAACGAAAACAAAGUUACUCAAUCAAAAUAAUCAUCAUUAUCUCAACAUAAUUAACAUUGAAAAAACAACAACAAUUAAUACAAAGGCUUUUCAAAUAGACAACAACAAAAAGUAAAUUUAAAUUGUUUUUUUCUCUUCCCUUACAGAUUUUAAUUGUCACCAUCAUCACCAUCACAAUUUAGAAUUGAUUAUAAUCAAUGGUUGAUAAAUCACCUCUUUACAUCCAUUGGAUAUAUUUUUAAUUGUUUCGAGGUUUAAUCAUCAUGAUGGUUGUUAAUUGUGUUAACCAAACAAUCAAAUAUUACCAUUUGGAUGAAGAGGUUUAUUCAACAAUCAAAAAUGACGGUGACCAUGAAAACAAAAUUGGAUCUGAAAUGGUCAAUGGUUGAUUAAUAUGAAUUAAUAAUGAUUAUCAAUUACUAUUAUUGACUGACCAUUGGACUAAAUGGAUUAUGUCUACUAAACCCUUAACUAUUUAACAUACAACCAAAGUGAAUGGUUGAUCAUUAUAAUCAUUAUCAAUAUAAUAUCUUGAUUAUUUCCACUGAACCAUUGGAAAUCUUGUUUUCCAUGAUAAUACUUUUGAUAUUAUCAUCAUUAAAUGUGAUCAAUCAUGUAAAAAGGAUUGAAUCAAAAUAUGAAUAUGUAACUAACUUAUCCUAGUUUUUUUUUGUGUUAUUACAGACAAACAAUCAAGAGUUUUUGGUCAUUAAUGGUCAUCAUCAGAGUGGACAGAAAAAAAGGACCAAUGGACAAUAGAUUUUGAUGUUUGAUUGAAAUCAAAGUGGAUGAUAUGGUGAACUUUUUUAUCAAAUUGAAUCGCAAAAGCUCAAAAAUGAUCCACCAUUAGGAACCAGAACCAGGAAAAUUUGACACCAUCUCUUUUUCAUUCACUUGUCCAUCUUUUUGGCUCAAUUUUUGGACAAUUUUUUUUCUCCAAAAGUGAUCAACCAAUAAAUUACUUGGAGAUAGAAAUUGGAUAAAAUUAUGGAUCCAAAUGAUGUCGAUAGUUUCAAUAUAAACCUAAAGGAAGUACAAAUUGUAAAGCCAAUGACGAAGAUGAUGAUAAUGAUGACGACGAUGAGAAGAUGAAGAGGAGAAAAACGGAAAUUCAAAAGACUCUUGAUGAUCUUUUCUUUCAAUCAAAAUGAGACGAAAGUAAAUCCAUAAAGAAGAGAAUCUCUUCCUCUGUCUUUUUCACCAUCUUCCUGUCUUCCUCUCUAUCUCUUUCUAUCUUUCUAUGUGUGUUAACCUUUAAUGGUUUACAAGUUUUCAUCACUUUGAUGGUCAUUUUGGUCAUCCAUUCACACUACUGAACAACAUUAACCAAGAAAAUACCGGAAUCAGAGUCUCAACACUCACGAUUCAAUAGUCAAACUCUGGUUUCAUCAUUAUUAUUACUUUUCUCCCUUACUGGUCAUCUAGAGAAAAGAAAAUAAAUAUCUCUACCUUACUUGAGUUGACCUUAACCUAAACCUAAAGGUCCAAGCAUGUAAAUAAGAAACACAGAUAAUAUAAAUCAUCAUAUUGGAUGGAAACAAUUUCCUGGAUUUACUUUUCACUCGAUCAAAAGCAAAAGGACAAUAAUAAAUAUAAAAAGAUUGGAAAAAAA